Oncorhynchus tshawytscha (Chinook salmon) is the source of this 1708-nucleotide long non-coding RNA. The record is from Ensembl. NCBI's taxonomy places the organism in Eukaryota, Metazoa, Chordata, Actinopteri, Salmoniformes, Salmonidae.
AGAGAGAGAGAGAGAGAGAGAGAGAGAGAGAGAGAGAGAGAGAGAAUCUCUUUUGUAUGACUGAAGGAAUAUCCAGGUGAUCUCCCCUCCUUUCAUUCACCUCUCCUCUCUAAAGAAAGUAGCAGUUAGACACACACACACACACACACACAACCUUUCUCUCCCACUUCAGCAGAAAGCAGGGAGGAUAACGUUUGACUUGCUCACCAGCCAAACAUGUUGAUGAGGGGGAAAUAGUGUUAAUCCAGCAAGGAAGCUUUUCUUUUCAAAUCAACCCAAUAAAACACCACUUUCCCCUUCCUGUAAAACCUGAAUCAGCUAUAAAAACUGUAUAACAUAUAGAAUUCUGGGUAGUCAAUAAAAAAAUGCACUUCCCAUGCGAAGGGUAGUACUAGGGGGUAAAGUAAGUGGGUGAAAAUCGUUCUGUUAGCAAUAUAAUAUUUUGUACUUUAGUGAAUUAAUGUGCGUUUGCUAAGAGGGGUGUGGCUUCAGAGCUGUCAUGACAACCCGAGGAAGACCAACUCAAAUAUUCCAAAUCCCUCCACCUUCAGUUGUUUUGGUCUCUCCCUGUGGAGAUGACAGCGGGGAUCACGUCUGUAGCGUGGACAAGUCACACCGUCAUCACACACUUCACACAGCAGCACAAAGACAUGUUGGAGUCAUUCCUCUACUUCACACAUGAGACAUGUGGAUACCCAGAAACCACCACUCUGCCUGCCGAGGAGGACUAGACCCGGGAUUAACCAGCACUAGCUGCAACGACACACACACAGGUACUGACUGCAACGACACACACACAGGUACUAGCUUAGAGAGGACACACCCAGCACUUAGAGAGGACAUAGAGAGGACAUAGAGAGGACACAGAGAGGACAUAGAGAGGACAUAGAGAGGACACAGAGAGGACACACCCAGCACUUAGAGAGGACAUAGAGAGGACACACCCAGCACUUAGAGAGGACAUAGAGAGGACACAGAGAGGACACAGAGAGGACACACCCAGCACUUAGAGAGGACAUAGAGAGGACAUAGAGAGGACACAGAGAGGACACACCCAGCACUUAGAGAGGACAUAGAGAGGACACACCCAGCACUUAGAGAGGACAUAGAGAGGACACACCCAGCACUUAGAGAGGACAUAGAGAGGAGAUAGAGAGGACACACCCAGCACUUAGAGAGGACAUAGAGAGGACACACCCAGCACUUAGAGAGGACAUAGAGAGGACACAGAGAGGACACACCCAGCACAUAGAGAGGACACAGAGAGGACACACCCAGCACUUAGAGAGGACACAGAGAGGACACAGAGAGGACACACCCAGCACUUAGAGAGGACAUAGAGAGGACACACCCAGCACUUAGAGAGGACAUAGAGAGGACAUAGAGAGGACACAGAGAGGACACACCCAGCACUUAGAGAGGACACAGAGAGGACACACCCAGCACUUAGAGAGGACACAGAGAGGACACAGAGAGGACACAGAGAGGACACACCCAGCACUUAGAGAGGACAUAGAGAGGACACAGAGAGGACACACCCAGCACUUAGAGAGGACAUAGAGAGGACACAGAGAGGACACACCCAGCACUUAGAGAGGACAUAGAGAGGACACAGAGAGGACACACCCAGCACUUAGAGAGGACAUAGAGAGGACACACCCAGCACUUAGAGAGGACAUAGAGAGGACACAGAGAGGACACACCCAGC